GGAUAGGUAGAGCUCAGAGGUAGAGUGUGUGCUUAGCAUGCAUGAGGUCCUGGGUUCAAUCCCUAGUACCUCCA
Non-coding RNA from Camelus ferus (Wild Bactrian camel), 74 nucleotides. The record is from Rfam. Lineage: Eukaryota; Metazoa; Chordata; Mammalia; Artiodactyla; Camelidae.